AUGGCUCGGCCAGCCGCAGCAGUAGCGACAGUGGUUGCUCUGCUCCUCCUGCAGGUGCCUGCCUCGCCGUCAGUGGCCGAGGCGGCAAUCGGUGGCCGGUCGCCGGCAGCCAUUCCACAGCUUGGGUACGAGCUGUGGAGAAAGGCAGCCUGGUCCGGUCCGAAGGCCAUGAUCAAGCAGCCGUUCGGUGCACCCGACAAAGACCGGCUGGGCAGCGCGGCGGCCGACAACGCCGGCCUCGUCGUCUACAACCUCUCCGUCGGCUACACGAGGGAGGUCUCCUCCGGCAUCGUCGACAUUGUCACCGACUUCAUCUGGGUGCCAUGCCCGCUAUCCGGAUUCACCGAAGUUUACUGCGCCACCCAGACGUGCCGGAUGGCACUCGACAAGGAGGACGCCUGCGGCAACAGCAACGGCUACACCUGCCGGUACGCGUACCAGUACGGACCAGUGAUCGGCACCACCGGCUACAUCUCCGCCGAGGAGGUCACUGCCGUCGGGACGCCCAUCACCGGCCGGGUGUUGUUCGGCUGCAGCAUCACCAGCAUGGUGCCAUUCGACGGCGAGUUUGGCGUGCUUGGGUUCAGCAGGGGGCCCUACUCCCUCCUGUCGCAGCUCAAGAUCUCCAGGUUCUCCUACUUCAUGCUGCCCGACGACGUCGACAGGCCCGGCUCCCAGAGCGUCGUCCUCCUCGGCGACGACGCGGUGCCCCAGACCAACAGCAGCCUCUCCACGCCGCUGCUCCGGAGCAAAGCGUACCCCGACCUGUACUACGUCAAACUCACCGGCAUCAUGGUCGACGACAAGACCCUGAGCGGCAUCCCGGCGGGGACGUUCGACCUCGCCGCCAACGGCUGCUCCGGUGGGGUGGCCAUGAGCACGCUCUCCCCCAUCACCUACUUCCACCCGGCCGCCUACAACGCCUUGACGCGGGCGCUGGCGAGCAAGAUCAAGUCACAGCCAGUCCGUGCGAAAGCCCGCGACGUGGCCGAGCUGUGGCUGUGCUACAACAUCCAGUCCGUCGCCAACCUGACGUUCCCCAAGAUCACGCUGGUGUUCGACGGCGUUGACGGCAGGCCGGCGCCCAUGGAGCUCACUACGGCGCACUACUUCUUCAGGGAAAACUCCAGCGGGUUGCAGUGCCUCACCAUGCUGCCCACGCCGGCGGGCUCGCCGGUCGGCUCCGUCCUGGGAAGCCUGCUGCAGACGGGCACCCACAUGAUCUACGACCUCCGCGGCGGCUCGCUGACUUUCGAGAAGGGCGGGUCGCCGGCGGCUUCCCAGAAGGGCGGCGCGGCGGCUCCGCCGACGAACCCGCAGGUAUCGCUCAUGGUGAUCCUUGCUUUGGCGCUGCUCCUCGUCUAG
RNAcentral lists this ribosomal RNA (1365 nucleotides) under Triticum aestivum (bread wheat). RNAcentral's name for it is "partial small subunit ribosomal RNA". The record is from RNAcentral. Lineage: Eukaryota; Viridiplantae; Streptophyta; Magnoliopsida; Poales; Poaceae.